GAGCUGCUUUCAGCUGGCCAGUGCAGGUACCGACAGCAACAUAGCUGGGACAGACGGAAGCAUAUCCCAUGCUGCAGUCCAGGUGGAUCCAGAGUCUAUUCAGGAGAUAGUGGGGUGGGAACACAGGAACAGUGAGUCUAAUGGAGCUCACUGGGUGCAGUCAUAAGAAGGUAAGAGGUGGAUAAGGCCAAAUUGUGAAAUUUUUCACUGAUAGGAGAUGAAAAAGAAAAGAAACAUUUAAAAAAAAUGUUAAAUGUUGAUUAUUCAGCCUUAAAGUACCUGCCAUCUUUGUGUCCACUGACAAAUGCUAAGCAGCCCAUUUUGAUGGAGCUGCUUCAAUCAGCACCUAAGACAACUGCUGCUGUAUUCCAGAAGGCCAGAUGUGUAAAAAUCACAGCAGAAUUUUGGGGCUAAGAUGUGCCAAACACUUCCUGAAGACGUUUUUAUUUAUCUGAGGAGCUAAAUUAACCCUUGCACAACUUACUUCAUCUUGCAACAUAAUGUCUUGAGAAGACAUUCACAAAUAAAAGUUUCUAUCUGCUUAUCAUUUGUGAUUUGCUUCAAAAUUACAUUAAUAAAAGACUGAAAGCUCA
Pezoporus flaviventris is the source of this 593-nucleotide long non-coding RNA. RefSeq lists it as uncharacterized. The transcript is spliced from 2 exons. The record is from RefSeq and is a predicted model, not a curated record. Lineage: Eukaryota; Metazoa; Chordata; Aves; Psittaciformes; Psittacidae.